This is a long non-coding RNA of Phasianus colchicus (ring-necked pheasant), 2754 nucleotides long. NCBI's taxonomy places the organism in Eukaryota, Metazoa, Chordata, Aves, Galliformes, Phasianidae. The record is from Ensembl.
AGUUGAGCACUUAUGGGGCAGAUGAGACACUUAUGGGGCUCGGGGGCACUUGUGGAGCAGAGUUGGACACUUAUGGGGCAGAUUUGGGCACUUAUGGGGCACAGCGACAUUUAUGGAGCACUUAGAGGGCAUGGAGUGACACUUAUGGGGCAGAGUUGGUCACUUAUGGGGCACGGAGUGAUGCUUAUGGGGCACUUAUGGGGCAGAAGGACGCACUUAUGGGGCAGAGUUGGGCACUUAUGGGGCAGAGGGAGGCACUUAUGGGGCACAGAGUGACACGGCACAGAGGCACUUAUGGUGCAGAGUUGAGCACUUAUGGGGCAGGAGGAGGCACUUACGGGGCAGAUGAGACACUUAUGGGGCUCGGGGGCACUUGUGGGGCAGAGUUGGGCACUUAUGGGGCACAGGGGGCGCUUAUGGGGCAUGGAGUGACAUGGGGCACUUAUGGGGCACAACGACAACUAUGGAGCACUUAUAGGGCAUGGGGUGACGCUUAUGGGGCAGAGGGAGGCACUUAUGGGGCAGAAGGACACACUUGUGGGGCAAGAGGUCACUUGUGGGGCAGAAGGACACACGUGGGGCACAGGGGUCACUUAUGGGGCAGAAGGACACACUUGUGGGGCAGAAGGGCACACUUAUGGGGCAGAAGGACACAUUUGUGGGGCACAGGGGUCACUUAUGGGUUCGAAAGACACACUUGUGGGGCAGAAGGACACACUUGUGGGGCCCAGAGGUCACUUGUGGGGCAGAAGGGCACACUUGUGGGGCACAGGGGUCACUUAUGGGGCAGAGGGACACACUUGUGUGGCACAGGGGUCACUUAUGGGGCAGAAGGACACACUUGUGGGGCACAGGGGUCACUUGUGGGGCAGAAGGACACACUUGUGGGGCAGAAGGGGUUCACUUAUGGGUCUGAAAGUCACACUUGUGGGGCAGAAGGACCCACUUAUGGGGCACAGAGGUUCACUUAUGGGUCCAAAAGACACACUUGUGGGGCACAGAGGUCACUUAUGGGGCACAGAGGUUCACUUAUGGGGCAGAAGGACUCACAUGUGGGGCACAGGGGUCACUUAUGGGGCAGAAGGACACACUUGUGGGGCACAGGGGUCACUUGUGGGGCAGGAGGACAUGUGUGGGGCACAGAGGACUCCUGUGGGGCACAGGGGUCACUUAUGGGGCAGAAGAACACACUUGUGGGGCACAGAGGUCACUUGUGGGGCUGAACGACUCGCUUAUGGGGCACAGAGGUUCACUUAUGGGGCAGAAGGACUCGUGGGGCACAGAGGUCACUUGUGGGGCAGAAGGACACACUUGUGGGGCACAGGGGUCACUUAUGGGGCAGAAGAACACAUUUGUGGGGCACAGGGGUCACUUACGGGUUCGAAAGACACACUUGUGGGGCAGAAGGACACACUUGUGGGGCACAGGGGUCACUUAUGGGGCAGAAGGACACACUUGUGGGGCACAGGGGUCACUUAUGGGGCACAGGGGUCACUGGUGGGGCAGAAGGACACACUGGUGGGGCACAGGGGUCACUUGUGGGGCAGAAGGACACACUUGUGGGGCAGAAGGGGUUCACUUAUGGGUCCGAAAGUCACACUUGUGGGGCAGAAGGACCCACUUAUGGGGCAGAAGGGGUUCACUUAUGGGUCCAAAAGACACACUUGUGGGGCACAGAGGUCACUUAUGGGGCACAGAGGUUCACUUAUGGGGCAGAAGGACACACAUGUGGGGCACAGAGGUCACUUAUGGGGCAGAAGGCCCCACUUGUGGGGCCCAGAGGUGACCCUCCCCCCCCAGCCCCCCGGCGCCUGCAGGUCUUUGCCCGCCUUCGCCCGCCGCCCCCCGGCCAGCAGCUCUGCCUGCGCCCCACGGCGCCACACGGCCUGCAGCUCCUGCAUGGCGCGGGCAGGGAGCCCAGCAACUUCCGGCUGGACGCCGUUUUCGGGCCGCUGUGCCCCACAGCUGCCGUUUAUUCGGGGUCUUUGGGGCCGCUGCUGCCCCAGCUGUUGGCCGGGACGGAGCUCACCCUGCUCUGCUAUGGGGCCAGCGGCGCCGGUGAGUAGGGGGGCACCCUAUAAGUGGGGGUCACCCCAAAGGUGGGGGCACCAUGACUAUGGGGGCACCCUAUAAGUGGGGGUCACCCUAUAAAUGGGGGUCACCCCAAAGAUGGGGGCAGUGCACCUGUGGUUCACCCUAUAAAUGGGCAUCACCCCAAAGGUGGGGGCAGUGCACCUAUGGGAUCAUCCUAUAAGUGGGGGUCACCCUAAAUACGGGGGCACAGCACCUAUGGGGUCACCCUAUAAGUGGGGGCACCCCAAAGAUGGGGGCGGCACAAUUAUGGGGUCACCCUAUAAGUGGGGGCACCCUAUAAAUGGUGGUCACCCCAAAGAUGGGGGGCACCGCAACUAUGGGGUCACCCUAUAAGUGGGGGUCACCCCACAGUUGGGGGCAGUGCACCCAUGGGAUCACCCCACAGAUGGGGGUCACCCCGUAUUUGGGGUCACUGCACUUAUGGGGUCACCCCAUACUUGGGGUCACUACGCUUAUGGGGUCACCCCACCUGUGGGUUUUCUCCCACCUUUGGGUGCCCCCCCCCACCUAUGGGUGCUGCCCCCCCCCACCUAUAGGUGUCCCUCCACCUUUGGGUGCCUUCACCCCUGUCCCCAUUAGGUGUCCCCCCACCUUUGGGUGCUCCCCACCCCCCCAUGGGUGCUCCUGCACCCCCUUUGGGUUCUCCCCCUUCCCACCUAU